This 2903-nucleotide ribosomal RNA is filed under the name Escherichia albertii. RNAcentral's name for it is "bacterial LSU rRNA". It matches the Rfam family "Bacterial large subunit ribosomal RNA". The record is from RNAcentral. Lineage: Bacteria; Pseudomonadati; Pseudomonadota; Gammaproteobacteria; Enterobacterales; Enterobacteriaceae.
UUAAGCGACUAAGCGUACACGGUGGAUGCCCUGGCAGUCAGAGGCGAUGAAGGACGUGCUAAUCUGCGAUAAGCGUCGGUAAGGUGAUAUGAACCGUUAUAACCGGCGAUGUCCGAAUGGGGAAACCCAGUGUGUUUCGACACACUAUCAUUAACUGAAUCCAUAGGUUAAUGAGGCGAACCGGGGGAACUGAAACAUCUAAGUACCCCGAGGAAAAGAAAUCAACCGAGAUUCCCCCAGUAGCGGCGAGCGAACGGGGAGCAGCCCAGAGCCUGAAUCAGUGUGUGUGUUAGUGGAAGCGUCUGGAAAGGCGCGCGAUACAGGGUGACAGCCCCGUACACAAAAAUGCACAUACUGUGAGCUCGAUGAGUAGGGCGGGACACGUGGUAUCCUGUCUGAAUAUGGGGGGACCAUCCUCCAAGGCUAAAUACUCCUGACUGACCGAUAGUGAACCAGUACCGUGAGGGAAAGGCGAAAAGAACCCCGGCGAGGGGAGUGAAAAAGAACCUGAAACCGUGUACGUACAAGCAGUGGGAGCCCUGAUUUAUCAGGGUGACUGCGUACCUUUUGUAUAAUGGGUCAGCGACUUAUAUUCUGUAGCAAGGUUAACCGAAUAGGGGAGCCGGAGGGAAACCGAGUCUUAACUGGGCGUUAAGUUGCAGGGUAUAGACCCGAAACCCGGUGAUCUAGCCAUGGGCAGGUUGAAGGUUGGGUAACACUAACUGGAGGACCGAACCGACUAAUGUUGAAAAAUUAGCGGAUGACUUGUGGCUGGGGGUGAAAGGCCAAUCAAACCGGGAGAUAGCUGGUUCUCCCCGAAAGCUAUUUAGGUAGCGCCUCGUGAAUUCAUCUCCGGGGGUAGAGCACUGUUUCGGCAAGGGGGUCAUCCCGACUUACCAACCCGAUGCAAACUGCGAAUACCGGAGAAUGUUAUCACGGGAGACACACGGCGGGUGCUAACGUCCGUCGUGAAGAGGGAAACAACCCAGACCGCCAGCUAAGGUCCCAAAGUCAUGGUUAAGUGGGAAACGAUGUGGGAAGGCCCAGACAGCCAGGAUGUUGGCUUAGAAGCAGCCAUCAUUUAAAGAAAGCGUAAUAGCUCACUGGUCGAGUCGGCCUGCGCGGAAGAUGUAACGGGGCUAAACCAUGCACCGAAGCUGCGGCAGCGACACUGUGUGUUGUUGGGUAGGGGAGCGUUCUGUAAGCCUGUGAAGGUGUGCUGUGAGGCAUGCUGGAGGUAUCAGAAGUGCGAAUGCUGACAUAAGUAACGAUAAAGCGGGUGAAAAGCCCGCUCGCCGGAAGACCAAGGGUUCCUGUCCAACGUUAAUCGGGGCAGGGUGAGUCGACCCCUAAGGCGAGGCCGAAAGGCGUAGUCGAUGGGAAACAGGUUAAUAUUCCUGUACUUGGUGUUACUGCGAAGGGGGGACGGAGAAGGCUAUGUUGGCCGGGCGACGGUUGUCCCGGUUUAAGCGUGUAGGCUGGUUUUCCAGGCAAAUCCGGAAAAUCAAGGCUGAGGCGUGAUGACGAGGCACUACGGUGCUGAAGCAACAAAUGCCCUGCUUCCAGGAAAAGCCUCUAAGCAUCAGGUAACAUCAAAUCGUACCCCAAACCGACACAGGUGGUCAGGUAGAGAAUACCAAGGCGCUUGAGAGAACUCGGGUGAAGGAACUAGGCAAAAUGGUGCCGUAACUUCGGGAGAAGGCACGCUGAUACGUAGGUGAAGUCCCUCGCGGAUGGAGCUGAAAUCAGUCGAAGAUACCAGCUGGCUGCAACUGUUUAUUAAAAACACAGCACUGUGCAAACACGAAAGUGGACGUAUACGGUGUGACGCCUGCCCGGUGCCGGAAGGUUAAUUGAUGGGGUCAGCGCAAGCGAAGCUCUUGAUCGAAGCCCCGGUAAACGGCGGCCGUAACUAUAACGGUCCUAAGGUAGCGAAAUUCCUUGUCGGGUAAGUUCCGACCUGCACGAAUGGCGUAAUGAUGGCCAGGCUGUCUCCACCCGAGACUCAGUGAAAUUGAACUCGCUGUGAAGAUGCAGUGUACCCGCGGCAAGACGGAAAGACCCCGUGAACCUUUACUAUAGCUUGACACUGAACACUGGUCCUUGAUGUGUAGGAUAGGUGGGAGGCUUUGAAGUGUGGACGCCAGUCUGCAUGGAGCCGUCCUUGAAAUACCACCCUUUAAUGGCUGGUGUUCUAACGUUGGCCCCUUACCGGGGUUGCGGACAGUGUCUGGUGGGUAGUUUGACUGGGGCGGUCUCCUCCUAAAGAGUAACGGAGGAGCACGAAGGUUGGCUAAUCCUGGUCGGACAUCAGGAGGUUAGUGCAAUGGCAUAAGCCAGCUUGACUGCGAGCGUGACGGCGCGAGCAGGUGCGAAAGCAGGUCAUAGUGAUCCGGUGGUUCUGAAUGGAAGGGCCAUCGCUCAACGGAUAAAAGGUACUCCGGGGAUAACAGGCUGAUACCGCCCAAGAGUUCAUAUCGACGGCGGUGUUUGGCACCUCGAUGUCGGCUCAUCACAUCCUGGGGCUGAAGUAGGUCCCAAGGGUAUGGCUGUUCGCCAUUUAAAGUGGUACGCGAGCUGGGUUUAGAACGUCGUGAGACAGUUCGGUCCCUAUCUGCCGUGGGCGCUGGAGAACUGAGGGGGGCUGCUCCUAGUACGAGAGGACCGGAGUGGACGCAUCACUGGUGUUCGGGUUGUCAUGCCAAUGGCACUGCCCGGUAGCUAAAUGCGGAAGAGAUAAGUGCUGAAAGCAUCUAAGCACGAAACUUGCCCCGAGAUGAGUUCUCCCUGAGACCUGGAGUCUCCUGAAGGAACGUUGAAGACGACGACGUUGAUAGGCCGGGUGUGUAAGCGCAGCGAUGCGUUGAGCUAACCGGUACUAAUGAACCGUGAGGCUUAACCUU